AAUCUGCGAUAAGCGUCGGUAAGGUGAUAUGAACCGUUAUAACCGGCGAUUUCCGAAUGGGGAAACCCAGUGUGAUUCGUCACACUAUCAUUAACUGAAUCCAUAGGUUAAUGAGGCGAACCGGGGGAACUGAAACAUCUAAGUACCCCGAGGAAAAGAAAUCAACCGAGAUUCCCCCAGUAGCGGCGAGCGAACGGGGAGCAGCCCAGAGCCUGAAUCAGUGUGUGUGUUAGUGGAAGCGUCUGGAAAGGCGUGCGAUACAGGGUGACAGCCCCGUACACAAAAAUGCACAUACUGUGAGCUCGAUGAGUAGGGCGGGACACGUGGUAUCCUGUCUGAAUAUGGGGGGACCAUCCUCCAAGGCUAAAUACUCCUGACUGACCGAUAGUGAACCAGUACCGUGAGGGAAAGGCGAAAAGAACCCCGGCGAGGGGAGUGAAAAAGAACCUGAAACCGUGUACGUACAAGCAGUGGGAGCACGCUUAGGCGUGUGACUGCGUACCUUUUGUAUAAUGGGUCAGCGACUUAUAUUCUGUAGCAAGGUUAACCGAAUAGGGGAGCCGAAGGGAAACCGAGUCUUAACUGGGCGUUAAGUUGCAGGGUAUAGACCCGAAACCCGGUGAUCUAGCCAUGGGCAGGUUGAAGGUUGGGUAACACUAACUGGAGGACCGAACCGACUAAUGUUGAAAAAUUAGCGGAUGACUUGUGGCUGGGGGUGAAAGGCCAAUCAAACCGGGAGAUAGCUGGUUCUCCCCGAAAGCUAUUUAGGUAGCGCCUCGUGAAU
Molecule: ribosomal RNA, 784 nt
Filed under: Shigella flexneri
Lineage: Bacteria; Pseudomonadati; Pseudomonadota; Gammaproteobacteria; Enterobacterales; Enterobacteriaceae
Description: partial 23S ribosomal RNA
Rfam family: Bacterial large subunit ribosomal RNA
Source: RNAcentral